UGUGUUUGAAUACUCAUACUAACCUCACUAUUUGUGAAGCAAAUUGAGUAUAUUGUAUGCUUAUUGGUCAUAGUAUGGAUAUAGUUAACAUGCCAAAAGUUCCCAUAAAAUAAUUCACCAAAAUACAAAGUAUACACGCAGUGGACACUGUUUCCAUGUUUUUACAGCCCAUAAUGCCAUUCUUCAGGAAAUGGCUGUGGCUUGAUAAUUUUUAAGAUUAGAAGAAAAUGGUGGAAAACAUGCAGCCAAAGUCCGAUGAGAGCGGAUACAAAUUCAUUGCUUGAACUAAUUAUGACAGAUGUUAAGAAAAUGUUAAGCAAUGUAAUAAGAUACCUAUUGUGAGAGUUGCUUGACUACAGCCCAAGAAAUUGAGAGCAGAAGAAAGACACAGCAGAGUCCAGACGGGAUGUUAUUGAGAAGCUAGUCAGUGGUGCUGUGUACCAAGAUUUAGAUGCUAAAAUCCCCACUGAACACAUUUUAAUGUAACUAUGUUCAACUGUACCAACUCUGUUUAUUUAAUCUCCAAAAUUCUCUUAGAAUAAAGAUAUUUCUCAAUAUCAUGUUGUUUUAUGUUAUUGUAAUUUCUGCCAUACUAACUGACAAUGCAAUCAUUUGUAGGUUCACCCACUAAUGCAAUAUAUUGAUAAAGGAUGUGACAACUAUUAUCUUAAUGGUAUCAAGUGUUCAGCCAUCUGCCCUUUUCCAGAAACAUCCAUAUUGCGUUUCUCUCUGUCUCAUACAAAAUCCAUAUCUGAAUAAGCUAAGAAUUAACACAGUUGGAUUGAAGUAUAUGAAUUUGAAUGGGAUAUUAUUGAUUAUGCAUUAUACACUAUUUCAAAUUUGCUUUCAUUUGUAAAUUACAUUGUCAAAUCACUCAAUUUGAAUGUGAGUCAUGUAAUACUUUUACAGAUUCAAGAGAUAAUUAUGAUGACUGAAUAAUGAUUUAUUUCAGAAAUUCUGACAUAAAUAAAGAUGUAGUAUAUUUAAUUCAACUGCUAAUAAUAGUAGGUACAUUUCAUAUUCACAAAUGCAAAUGGUCUAAUUCAAAAACCUAACUUUUUUCACUUUAUAAAUGAGUUUAAACAAUAUGGCACUACUUACAUUAUUUUUUUUUAAGGCAUUUAAAAAUUGUAUUAUUAAUUAAUAUGAUUUGUUUGUUUAGGAUUCCUGGCAACGUAAAUAGUUUGUUUGUAUGCUUGUUUUCAUGUGACUAUUCCU
Molecule: long non-coding RNA, 1218 nt
Organism: Oncorhynchus tshawytscha (Chinook salmon)
Lineage: Eukaryota; Metazoa; Chordata; Actinopteri; Salmoniformes; Salmonidae
Source: Ensembl